This 253-nucleotide ribosomal RNA is filed under the name uncultured prokaryote. Its description in RNAcentral is "partial 16S ribosomal RNA". It matches the Rfam family "Bacterial small subunit ribosomal RNA", at positions 524 to 776 of the family's 1533-position model. The record is from RNAcentral.
UACGUAGGGUGCAAGCAUUAAUCGGAUUUAUUGGGCGUAAAGGGCGCGCAGGCGGACUUGCAAGUCAGGUGUGAAAUUCCGGGGCUCAACCUCGGAGCGGCACUUGAAACUACAGGUCUAGAGGAUAGGCGGAGAAAACGGAAUUCCACAAGUAGCGGUGAAAUGCGUAGAUAUGUGGAAGAACACCGGUGGCGAAGGCGGUUUUCUAGCUUAUUCCUGACGCUGAGGCGCGAAAGCAAGGGGAUCAAACAGG